UCACACUGCGCCAUAAAUCACAAACUUUUAGCUUUAUUGUAAAAACCGAACCAAAAAUCAUAAUUAGCCAUAAAAAACCUAAUGAAAACGAUAAACAGCCAUGGCGGAUAGAGCAGAAUGUCAAUUGCAGUACGAGUUCAAUGCGGAAGGAAGCAGACAUCAUGCUAAAUAUUAUCUCUCGCAUGUGAACUUUAGUCUUGUGCAGAAAGCCGAUGCACGACACAUCCAGCGCCCACGUUGUUACUGGCGAGAUCUACUCCAUAGUAGGAAAGUUGUACGGCGCGUGGAUCGGUGAGCGUCGCACCAAGUCGGAAAAUACUGAAGAGCUGAAGCGUGCCUUGGAGGAUUUGCCUAGGGAUGUCUUCUGCGAUGUUGACUCGCGGUCAAAAUAGGUGGUCAGGCUGCUGGCGAUUUCUGCUCCCAGGUGGUAAAGUUGAAAGGCACGCAAAUGCAUGACCAGUCGGAAACUAUGGAACGCGAAAGUAGAUGAUCGAUUGUCGCUGCUGUUCCCCCCGGCAAGAGUUCUCAAAUUUUGGCAAUGAUGCCAAGAUCGCACUGACAGUCACAACAAACAAUGACGGUCAUUAUGGUCCCAAUGUGCGGUUUGAAGAGUCAGAGGAGAGUGACAAUAUAAACAGAUAUAUGUAUUUGGCGAGGCAAAGGACGAUUAUAUACCAGAUAAGGAUAUACAGACAAGCAUUGAUUUUUGGCCAAUGAAGAGGCUGCCAGCAAUGUGUAGAAAUAUCGUGUUCUACAUCCCCUGAACAUCGGCGCCUAUUGGCUGGAAAGUUAUCUGAGCAAAAUUUUUAAAGAACACCAUGGAGUCGCAAAAUAAGUCUGCCGAUGUACUCAAGAUCCCAAAAAAUGCCAGCAUUGCCAGCUCGCAGACAGCGACCCAGGACAUACAUAGGCAAGGAUUCGUAUCAGCGACAUGUGCCGCAAUUUGGUGUGACGAAAAUUGGAACCGUUUUUGUUUUCAUAGAGCUGAAGGAUGAGGAUCGCACGCUUCUAUUGCCGCUUUCCUAUACACAGAUGGCCGAUAGGGCCCAUUGAACUCAGCUAUGUGGGGAUCCAGCUGAAGCGUGAAUGUCUCCAGUUAAUCCAACUUUUGUACUGCGGAAGAUCG
Molecule: long non-coding RNA, 1126 nt
Organism: Drosophila subobscura
Lineage: Eukaryota; Metazoa; Arthropoda; Insecta; Diptera; Drosophilidae
Exons: 4
Source: RefSeq, a predicted model, not a curated record